This is a non-coding RNA of Rattus norvegicus (Norway rat), 2536 nucleotides long. The record is from RefSeq and is a predicted model, not a curated record. NCBI's taxonomy places the organism in Eukaryota, Metazoa, Chordata, Mammalia, Rodentia, Muridae.
GGUGGUGGGGAACUGAUUUGGAAGGCCAGAGCUACCAAUAGGGACCCCGUGUAUAGUGGGUUGGAGUACUUCAGAAGAAGCUGGUUGGCUAUUGGUCUAGAGGCUUUGGGAGGAAAGAUCUAGGUGCUCAUAGCUUACAGAGAGGAAGGGGUGGGUGGCUCCAGCUGAGUGACAGACAGGGAAGGCAGAGCUGCUGUGAGGAGGAUCUAAUCACUCACUUACCUGUUGAGGUCUGACCCAUUGCUAUGCAUUAUAAUGCUAAAAACUGGCCCUGGUUGCCUUGGGAACACACAAGAAUCCUCACAUACACCAAAUGAUGCUACGUGACCUUGCUUCUUAUUUUAAAACUAUUGGUUAUAUAAAGAUGCCCACAGCCUAUAGCUGGGCAGAAGACAGGUAGGUGAGGUUUUGGUUCCCAGGUUUGGAGUCUGAGAAGGACCAUGAGAGGGAGAAGAGAAAUGCUAUGGAUUAAAGGAUCGUGAGAACUGGACAUGGGGGUUGGCCAUUUGGAAUAAGAGCGGCCCAGCUCCCGUGGGUAUUUCUCAGGGCCCUCAGCGCAGCAUUAGCCGUUUGCUGGUACAACUCCUACAGGCGUGCAUACAACGUCCGCUGGGACCCCAUGUGCCCUGGCCAUCCUAUAUCCCUGACAGGAAGCUCAGCGAUGACACAUUUUCAGAUGCUUGCCAGUGAAAACCAAAAGAAGAGAAAAGAAAAAAAAGGAAAAGAAGAAAAAGAAAAAGAUAAAAGUUACAACAGAGAACACCAACUCCAAAUAAAACCCUACAGGUUCUACUGAUUCUCCCAGGGCUCAAGUCAGAGAGAAUUUUAAGUGUCACCUUAAACUGCAAGGACGUCUGUUAAACAUCACAAUUAAACCACAUUGUCAGAUGCCCACCCACCCCCCACACACACCUCAGGCCCACCCUUGCUCACCUUCUAUACCCUCCCUUUUCUUCUUCUUUUUAUUAAACAAGAGGAAGUAGACAGAUCCAUGUUGGUAAAUGCUAAUGGUCUGUAUUCACAGAGACACAGUGUAAUCUCUGAGCCCAAUAAACAGAGAAAAGGAAAAAGGUAGAAAUCUGUGUACUACUACACAGGGGCCUGGCACCCUCCAGCCUCCAGCAGAGCCAAGGGAACUGGAGGGCUUUUCUUCUUGCCUACAGAGCAUGGUGGUGGUGUUGAAUCCAGUUUUUGAGACAAGGAAGGAUUAAAAAUGAAUUUAGAAUAGAAAUGUGAGAUUCUUUUUCUGUUGUAUUUUGCUCAAGACAUUUUCCCCCAAAUUAGUUGAGAACCAUGAUGUUGAGACCUCAAAAACAGGGCAACUGAGCCCAGAGGGACAGGGAGGAAAGGAUUGCAACUCCCUUUCAGGGACUGGAGAAAAUUAAAAAAAUAAAAGGAAAAUGAAAAAGAAAAAGAUUGGAUCCGUCGGUCCUCUGUGCUAGUCAUCCUUGUCUUCAUCCGUCUGUCCUUCCUCACCUUCAUCCUCCUCCUCCUCACCUUCAGCCUCAUCUUCAUCAAUAUCUUCCAACCCUCUUCAUCAUCAUCAUCCUCUGCCUUUCCCUCUUCAUCGUCCAUAUUGGGCACCAAAUAAUACUGCAAGGGAUUUGGCCAAAUAUCAUCUUUGAUGACCUCUCCUAAGUCAUCAGCACUUGCGUUGGAAUGGUCAGGAAACCAGGGAAAGAAGCUCUCUGGCUUUCGUGCUGCCUCUUCCUGCUGGCCUUAUUCUGCAUUUGACUUGAGUGUUUUGUCAAAUCCCUUCCAGAUUUCCGUUCUAUUUCAGUGGACUCUGAAGACGGGUCACCACUCUCAUUCAGAUGAAAUUCUUUGGAGAGUACUUUAUUUUCAAAGUAAGGAUUUUCAUCAAAAUAAAAAUCUAUUCUGUAACCUGAUUAAUGUCUUCAAAUUCUGUCACUUCAACUCUGGUCAAAUAAAGCAGGGCUUCCUUGUCUUCCUCCCCAAGCAGUGCAGACACCUACGGAUGGUUGACAAAUGUUGUUACCCAAAAAUUUGUGAUUUUGGCCAUCAAUUCUGACCUCUUCUGAAAAAAUGGUUGGCGGAGCUUGUUAUAUUUUUGUUCUACUUUCAAAAUUUCCUCACUGGCUUGUUCAUUAACUGUCUGUUUCAUUUUGAACUUCAGCAAUAUGUCACUUGCUUCUUGUAGGGAGCCGUAUUGGAUUUGGGCCUGGCCGCUUUUUGACUGCAUGGCUCAAAGUGGCUAGGUGACUCUGGGCUGUUUGGCCACAGAUAUUCACCCCUAAGAUGACUGCCAUAAGUCUUAAGAUUGUUGGACAAAAGCCUCUCCCAUGAAUUUACGGCACGGGAAGAUAACAUUCAAGGGAUGCCUCAGCUCGAGCCGAUACCAGUUAUCUCCUGAGUCAACACCCGGUGUCUCCACCGCCUGACCUCUUUGCCUCCUGCUAUCACUGCCUAUACCCUCGCCCCUCCAUCCUUCAUGUUUCACAAAGGACACUCCCCCUACCUGAAAGCCUUAAAAGCUGUAACGUUCACCCCAAUAAAUGAGACCUUGACAACAGAA